CGGGGCAGGGUGAGUCGACCCCUAAGGCGAGGCCGAAAGGCGUAGUCGAUGGGAAACGGGUUAAUAUUCCCGUACUUGGUGUUACUGCGAAGGGGGGACGGAGAAGGCUAUGUUGGCCGGGCGACGGUUGUCCCGGUUUAAGCGUGUAGGUGUGUGUUCCAGGUAAAUCCGGUUCACUUUAACACUGAGGCGUGAUGACGAGGCACUACGGUGCUGAAGCAACAAAUGCCCUGCUUCCAGGAAAAGCCUCUAAGCAUCAGGUAACAUCAAAUCGUACCCCAAACCGACACAGGUGGUCAGGUAGAGAAUACCAAGGCGCUUGAGAGAACUCGGGUGAAGGAACUAGGCAAAAUGGUGCCGUAACUUCGGGAGAAGGCACGCUGACACGUAGGUGAAGUGAUUUACUCAUGGAGCUGAAGUCAGUCGAAGAUACCAGCUGGCUGCAACUGUUUAUUAAAAACACAGCACUGUGCAAACACGAAAGUGGACGUAUACGGUGUGACGCCUGCCCGGUGCCGGAAGGUUAAUUGAUGGGGUCAGCGCAAGCGAAGCUCCUGAUCGAAGCCCCGGUAAACGGCGGCCGUAACUAUAACGGUCCUAAGGUAGCGAAAUUCCUUGUCGGGUAAGUUCCGACCUGCACGAAUGGCGUAAUGAUGGCCAGGCUGUCUCCACCCGAGACUCAGUGAAAUUGAACUCGCUGUGAAGAUGCAGUGUACCCGCGGCAAGACGGAAAGACCCCGUGAACCUUUACUAUAGCUUGACACUGAACAUUGAGCCUUGAUGUGUAGGAUAGGUGGGAGGCUUUGAAGUGUGGACGCCAGUCUGCAUGGAGCCGGCCUUGAAAUACCACCCUUUAAUGUUUGAUGUUCUAACGUGGACCCGUGAUCCGGGUUGCGGACAGUGUCUGGUGGGUAGUUUGACUGGGGCGGUCUCCUCCUAAAGAGUAACGGAGGAGCACGAAGGUUGGCUAAUCCUGGUCGGACAUCAGGAGGUUAGUGCAAUGGCAUAAGCCAGCUUGACUGCGAGCGUGACGGCGCGAGCAGGUGCGAAAGCAGGUCAUAGUGAUCCGGUGGUUCUGAAUGGAAGGGCCAUCGCUCAACGGAUAAAAGGUACUCCGGGGAUAACAGGCUGAUACCGCCCAAGAGUUCAUAUCGACGGCGGUGUUUGGCACCUCGAUGUCGGCUCAUCACAUCCUGGGGCUGAAGUAGGUCCCAAGGGUAUGGCUGUUCGCCAUUUAAAGUGGUACGCGAGCUGGGUUUAGAACGUCGUGAGACAGUUCGGUCCCUAUCUGCCGUGGGCGCUGGAGAACUGAGGGGGGCUGCUCCUAGUACGAGAGGACCGGAGUGGACGCAUCACUGGUGUUCGGGUUGUCAUGCCAAUGGCACUGCCCGGUAGCUAAAUGCGGAAGAGAUAAGUGCUGAAAGCAUCUAAGCACGAAACUUGCCCCGAGAUGAGUUCUCCCUGAGACUUUAGGUCUCCUGAAGGAACGUUGAAGACGACGACGUUGAUAGGCCGGGUGUGUAAGCGCAGCGAUGCGUUGAGCUAACCGGUACUAAUGAACCGUGAGGCUUAACCUUACA
Molecule: ribosomal RNA, 1580 nt
Filed under: Salmonella enterica
Lineage: Bacteria; Pseudomonadati; Pseudomonadota; Gammaproteobacteria; Enterobacterales; Enterobacteriaceae
Description: partial 23S ribosomal RNA
Rfam family: Bacterial large subunit ribosomal RNA
Source: RNAcentral